RNAcentral lists this ribosomal RNA (369 nucleotides) under uncultured fungus. RNAcentral's name for it is "eukaryotic LSU rRNA". It matches the Rfam family "Eukaryotic large subunit ribosomal RNA", at positions 40 to 398 of the family's 3401-position model. Lineage: Eukaryota; Fungi. The record is from RNAcentral.
AUAUCAAUAAGCGGAGGAAAGGAAACUAACAAGGAUUCCCCUAGUAACUGCGAGUGAAGCGGGAAGAGCUCAAAUUUAAAAUCUGGCAGUCCUUGCUGGCUGUCCGAGUUGUAAUUUAGAGAAGUGCUACCCGCGCUGGACCGUAUACAAGUCCUCUGGAAUGGGGCGUCAUAGAGGGUGAGAAUCCCGUCUUUGAUACGGACUACCAUGUGCUUUGUGGUGCGCUCUCGAAGAGUCGAGUUGUUUGGGAAUGCAGCUCAAAAUGGGUGGUAAAUUCCAUCUAAAGCUAAAUACAGGCGAGAGACCGAUAGCGAACAAGUACCGUGAGGGAAAGAUGAAAAGAACUUUGGAAAGAGAGUUAAACAGUAC